This 292-nucleotide ribosomal RNA is filed under the name uncultured bacterium. Its description in RNAcentral is "partial 16S ribosomal RNA". It matches the Rfam family "Bacterial small subunit ribosomal RNA", at positions 505 to 796 of the family's 1533-position model. The record is from RNAcentral.
GUGUCAGCAGCCGCGGUAAUACGAAGGGGGCUAGCGUUGUUCGGAAUUACUGGGCGUAAAGCGCACGUAGGCGGAUAUUUAAGUCAGGGGUGAAAUCCCAGAGCUCAACUCUGGAACUGCCUUUGAUACUGGGUAUCUCGAGUAUGGAAGAGGUGAGUGGAAUUCCGAGUGUAGAGGUGAAAUUCGUAGAUAUUCGGAGGAACACCAGUGGCGAAGGCGGCUCACUGGUCCAUUACUGACGCUGAGGUGCGAAAGCGUGGGGAGCAAACAGGAUUAGAUACCCCCGUAGUCC